This 364-nucleotide ribosomal RNA is filed under the name uncultured bacterium. Its description in RNAcentral is "bacterial SSU rRNA". It matches the Rfam family "Bacterial small subunit ribosomal RNA", at positions 147 to 507 of the family's 1533-position model. The record is from RNAcentral.
CCCAGAGUAAAUUUGGAUUAACUACCCAUAAUAUAUUUGAUAAGGCAUCUUAUUAAUAUUAAAGCUUCGGCACUUGAUGAUGGGUGUGCGGCUGAUUAGAUAGUUGGCGGGGUACCGGCCCACCAAGUCUACGAUCAGUAGCUGAUGUGAGAGCAUGAUCAGCCACACGGGCACUGAGACACGGGCCCGACUCCUACGGGAGGCAGCAGUAAGGAAUAUUGGACAAUGGACGAAAGUCUGAUCCAGCCAUGCCGUGUGAAGGAUUAAGGUCCUCUGGAUUGUAAACUUCUUUUAUAUGGGACGAAAAAAGGGCAUUCUUGUUCACUUGACGGUACCAUAUGAAUAAGCACCGGCUAACUCCGUG